Molecule: transfer RNA, 71 nt
Filed under: Streptomyces fulvorobeus
Lineage: Bacteria; Bacillati; Actinomycetota; Actinomycetes; Kitasatosporales; Streptomycetaceae
Description: tRNA-Asp
Source: RNAcentral
GGGUCCUUGGUCCAGGACUCGGGGCGACGGGCGUAUCGGGCCGGGCGAGAGGUUCGACGCCUCAGAUCCCC